AAUGAUUACAAUCCAACGUAAACGGUACGUGGUACUAUUCACCAAUUUAUAGGCACGGGACGCAGCCCGGAUAACAAUACAUUUAUGACCUUAACAUAUACACAUAAUCGUAACAUAAAUCACCAGGGAUCAACUAGUCUUUUCUUCUUCGGCUCGGCAUUAUGCUUGACCUUCGUUGCUAUCCUAAGUUGAAGCUGUUAUCCUUCAGUUGUAGCUUCGGCAUUCGUUGUUAUCGUUUUCAAACAAUGUCUUCGUAUCGAGGACCUUCGGCGGGGAAAAAGAUAUUCAUGACGAAGUUUUUCUUAUGACGAAGCUCCUGUAAUAUUUAAUAAUAUACUAAAAACAAAAGGUUAGUCGUACCUUUGAGGACCUUCGGAAGAGGAAGGCCCCCAACAGCCAUGAACUUGUCGGUCCCGGUCUCUCGAUGAUUGCAAAGGGAGUGGAUCACCACCGCCAUUGCCGCACCUAAACCUAGAGCCGUAGAUAAACAAGUGAGGAGUGAGGCGAGUUAAAUUUGUUAGUUGCAAGCAUUCUUCUCCAACUUUCAGAAGGUGACAUAGUUUGGAAAUCUGUCAGGUCAAUGCACAUAAGUGAAGCCCUCUAGAUGCAGAUCAAAGUCUAGAGUCAGCUGCAUGAGUAGUUAGAGGUAUACACAAGUAGCAACUCUCUAUAACAACAUGAACAAAACAUGACUAUGGUGUCUAGCAUAUAUAUCAAGUAUGAAAGAACAGACCUUAAGAACAUCCUUGCCAAGAUAAAUGAGAUCCUCCAUCCCUAAACUCGAAGGCCACAUAAACUCCUGCUCUUAAUAUAACAAAAAUAAAAAGUGAAUAUUCUUCAUAUAGAUACCAAAGAAGACAAGUGUAAUUUGAGUCAAUCAGCAGAAGGCAUUUCACUGACAACUCAUACACACCCCAUUUCCGCCCAAAUCACCAGUCAGAUGCCCCUCAAUGUUGCUCUCCAAACCUGAUUGGAACAAAUAGAACAAUAGAAGAAACAUGAACUUCAUCAACCAACCAUGGCAUGCUUGUUAGUUCAUAAACUUGUGGGCUCCACGUGGCUGAAGGUCUUGAGCAGCUUGCUGUCAUGGCUGCCAUGGUCAGACCUAGAGCGUAGAAAAUUUGACGGUUCUUCCUUUUGGCCAUUUCAUCGAACACUUUGUUUGCAUCUAUUUGUAAGCUAGAGUACAGUCAAAAGGUAUGGCAAUUGGUAAACGAAUCUUGUCAAUGUCCUCCCCAUCACGAUUGUAGAAGAGGGUGAGUUCGGGUGUUGUUUGCUCGAACCAGAGGAGAAGAGGGAGGAGAUCGAUUUUUGCUAACCCAGAAGAGCAGGGAGGGGGCAUCCGGCGGAUGAUGGGCUCUGCGACUUCUGUGCCCAACAUGCAAAGAGUGCCCAUGUCAUUACCAAAUAGAUGUGGAGCCAGCGAUGGCGAGCAGGGCGGGGCGGCAGAGAGCCGAGGCAGGUGGGGCCAUAGCCUGGAAGCACGAUGUAGUGCGCGCCAAGGCCUCAAUCGUCCAAGCAGACUGCGAGGCGGGCUUAGGGCAGCGGCGACGUUGUCCACAUGGAGGCCGAGGUCGCGACAUUGUCACCGUAGACGUGUUGCAGUGUUAUCGUGGCGUGAUUGCGGUUAG
RNAcentral lists this long non-coding RNA (1631 nucleotides) under Zea mays. Its description in RNAcentral is "long non-coding RNA (ZMAY_LNC001675)". The record is from RNAcentral. Lineage: Eukaryota; Viridiplantae; Streptophyta; Magnoliopsida; Poales; Poaceae.